AGUGAACGCUGGCGGUAGGCCUAACACAUGCAAGUCGAACGGCAGCACAGGAGAGCUUGCUCUCUGGGUGGCGAGUGGCGGACGGGUGAGGAAUACACCGGAAUCUACUCUGUCGUGGGGGAUAACGUAGGGAAACUUACGCUAAUACCGCACACGACCUACGGGCGAAAGCAGGGGAUCGUCGGACCUUGCGCGAUUGAAUGAGCCGAUGUCGGAGUAGGUAGUUGGCGGGGUAAAGGCCCACCAAGGCGACGAUCCGUAGCUGGUCUGAGAGGAUGAUCAGCCACACUGGAACUGAGACACGGUCCAGACUCCUACGGGAGGCAGCAGUGGGGAAUAUUGGACAAUGGGCGCAAGCCUGAUCCAGCCAUACCGCGUGGGUGAAGAAGGCCUUCGGGUUGUAAAGCCCUUUUGUUGGGAAAGAAAUCCAGCUGGCUAAUACCCGGUUGGGAUGACGGUACCCAAAGAAUAAGCACCGGCUAACUUCGUGCCAGCAGCCGCCGUAA
Molecule: ribosomal RNA, 506 nt
Filed under: uncultured bacterium
Lineage: Bacteria
Description: partial 16S ribosomal RNA
Rfam family: Bacterial small subunit ribosomal RNA
Source: RNAcentral